GUACAAAGAGGGCACGACUGUACAUGACUCAUGACGAGGUGUGAAUUAGGUCUACACAGUACGAUGAGAAAGCAGCGGUUUGAGGCACGGGUUUUUGGCUUCCUUCGUCUUUUAUUUGUAUGGUUUCUGAAACAACCACUGCAAUUAAUGCAGCUUCACUUUGCUUCACGUGUGAAUACGUUCUUAAGUAGGCCCUCAUGUCCACGUAUAGGAGCAUGACAGUGUGCUUCUCAUUCCCAUUUGCAGUCGAUAUUGGAUGAGGAUAUGAGAGUUGGUAUUGAUUGCAAUUUCCUGCAACGCUACGUUCCACUCUCUUGCUUUAUCAGGAGACUAAUUCCUAUCAGCUACGCUGUCGGCCAACCAACAGCCUUGGCUGCUGCCCAGGACAACAGCUAAUGAAUAAGAGAGGAGUGAAUAAUCCAGCGAGGCAUUUCUCCUCUGACAAACAGGUUGCUACGGGGACGAUAAUGAUGAGUCUGGGAUAUUGGCUGUGGGGAAAUGUGUACGUGUAUUAGUGCGCAUCAGCAGCCAGGUUGCGUUUGUUUGCAUGUGUGCCUGUGCGCUUCAGUAUGUGUAUUUGUAAGAUGUUUGUGCUCCAUGCAUGCUUGCACCAGCCAAGUCUUCACUGAUUUUAAUGGCGAGAUGUUUGGGAUGUCAGACAUUUGCGUGCCUUGGGAUUUGCUGUUGUUGAGUGAAGUCAUCAAGGGCAUGAAGCCAGCUGACAGCAGCUGGAGAGCCAAUCAGGUGUUUAUUUUUGCUAUAAUUGUGGAGCUAAGUAAUAAUGUUGUCCUUCCUGAGAUGCAUCAGGGUCCAGGUAUACAGUGAAAGUUUUACUUUUUUGUUGUCUUUUUUUCUUUUCAUACCAGUUUCAAUAGGAGAAUCUCUUUUAAAAAACAUAGCACUUGUUUUAGUGGACUACAUCCACUGUCCAAACCUUUUUUUUUUACUAUAUUCACUUUUUUUCCUUUUAAAUUUCAUCCCUCUUCCUGUUUUUUGUUAGUUUGAGUUUUAAACCGAGUUGAUUAUACUGUAAGUCUCUGUGGCUGAAAUGCUGAUUUAAAUCUCUAAAUAUCCUGCUGCACACAUUUCAGGUGCCUACUCUUUUCCAUACCACUUGCUUCCAUCUCCCCGAUUAAGCAUUUAUCCUUUCUUCUUAGUUAUUCUAGUUUAAAAUAAAACGGCCUACAAUAUCUUUCAUCAAUAGCUGCAACCCUCUUUGUGUUUUGACUUAGUGUGAAAGUGGCAGGAACAUGCAAGGCACCCAUAAAGUGAUUCAAAUGUUUUGUUUUUGUGUUCAUGCUGGAAAUAAUUCUGAUGUAACUGUAAGUUUUGACGUGGCUUCCAAUAUUCCAAUAGCCAAAAAAAAUUUCAACCUUCUGUUGGGGGGUUGCCAAUGCAGGGCCAUUAGCCAAAGUGUAGUUGUGUUGUUGAUAACCUAUUCAAAUUCAGUCAGUCACUGAUAUUAAUUCACUAACUGACUGUGAGAAAAGUGUACAGUUCUUGUAAGCGCCAGACGUCUGCUUUAUAUUUUUAUUUACGAUCGAGUUCAUGUUUGUUUUAUAAUUCAUAGAUUCAUUACAUAAGUCAUCUUUUCAGGAUUAAUAAAUAUGAAAAUAUAUGUGUUUAUGUAAAGUAAUUUUAAGUCACUGUUUUGGGAUUGGAACCUAAAAGGGGGU
This is a long non-coding RNA of Astatotilapia calliptera (eastern happy), 1676 nucleotides long. The record is from Ensembl. NCBI's taxonomy places the organism in Eukaryota, Metazoa, Chordata, Actinopteri, Cichliformes, Cichlidae.